Molecule: long non-coding RNA, 721 nt
Organism: Bubalus bubalis (water buffalo)
Lineage: Eukaryota; Metazoa; Chordata; Mammalia; Artiodactyla; Bovidae
Exons: 4
Source: RefSeq, a predicted model, not a curated record
ACCAACGCCGACACCGGGCGGAGGUGGGCUGGGGGUCCUUGGAUAAAUGCGGAGCAAACACCUCGGGUUGCGGGGUCUGCGGGGGAAACGGGCAGAGAAAUCUUCCUUCCGGGAAGCAACCUUGUCCUGACUUGAGAAACCCCUCCUGUGGGCGGGCACUCCGCUCCGCCUUUCUCCCCCCACGCCCUCUCCCGGUCUAGUCUCCUCCGGCUUCCCUCCGCCCGCCUCUCCUCCUCGGGCAUAAAAGCUGGAGUCUCUCGGGAGCUGGGACCCAGACCGGCCGACAGGAGAAAGGUGGCGGGGUCUGCCCACUCCAGCGAGGGGCGAGGAGGCUGGACCCUCAACAGUGCCGGCUACCUCCUGGGUCCCGAUGGCCUCCCCUACUCCCAGUCUCUGCUGGCCUCCAGGAGUCUGGGAGAGACUGCUGCCAAAGCAGAGACCGGAGAUCCAGGCGUGCUUGGCCAGAAAGUCCUCAAGGAGGAAGAUGCCUGGGUUCCUAGAUGUCCCCAGACUUCUGCUGCAAACCUUUGCCCCUCUGGCUCUUUCUGAAACCCUGUGUUGUCACCCUCUACUGAGACCGAGAUCGUGAAAUUAAAAUCUCAGGAAGAAAAUCUGAAGCACUGGAAGAAUUGUUUGGGUUUUUUUUCCAAUCUGCUGCUGCUAAGUCGCUUCAGUCGUGUCCAACUCUGUGCAACCCCAUAGACAGCAGCCCACCAGGCUC